AGUCAAGGGUUGUAACGGGGCUUGGGGUAAUGGUUAACAAAGGAAAGAUAGGGAUAACAAACGUUCCUAAGGCAAUAGCAAGCAAAGUAAUGAAAUCGAAACUUAGAAUUCACUUUAGAAUGCAGAAAUCAACUUUUAGACAUAAGGGAAAGAUUUAAACAACUCUUAGGGUCAAAUUCAACUUUUUUUUUUUUGGAUGAAUUUUUCUUUUCUUUUCUUUCCACCCGUGCCUAUGGCACACUACUUACAUGAGAAACACUUCCCCCACACUUAUUUUCUGCCAUAAAUAAUCAAAAGGAAUUCAAUUUGAAUCAUGCUUUACUAUGCUUUAAGAACAAGGGUAUGGAUGGUCCUAAUCUAGGCUAGGUGAGGAUAACGUGGUUUAACAAAGAACGUAGGCUAACAAGGCUCAAUGGGGUUAACUUAAACAUAUAAUGAAGCAGGAUACAUGUCAAUUUGGUUUUGGUGGUGGUAACUACACAACUUCAUCUUGAAUAUGUGUUAUGCAAAUCAAUAUCAUACUUUGAAUGAAAUGGGCAUGAGUUCUAGCAUUUGGAACUAAAUGAUGAAACGCCUUCUAAGUAGUAACCAAGCAAAGAAAAAUGAGAUCAUGCAACGACUUUAGAAAACAAUAAUGCACAGAUUAUCAACUCUCCAAAUAAUGUUUAGGCUCAAGUCUCACAAGGUUGUAGCGUUUGUUUGAGUUCUUUCCUUCAAGCAUGUUACAAAAACUAAUUUUUCCUUUAUGAUUGCAUGUGAAUUCAUAAAUUAUAACCACAACCAAGCAUACACCAAAGAGUAAAUCAAAUGUUCAUCCAUGUUUAUAACUCUCUUUAACAGUCAUGUAAUUAAAAACCAAAUCCUCAUCAUUGUGUUGGAAGGUACCUUAAGACACAAAUAAACAUACAAAAACAACUCUUUUUGGGUUUUUCAAAACAAUUUUUCAAAUUUUUAUGAGAUUUUCGGAUUUUUAUGUCAAAACACACUAAAAUACUCCAAAAUACCUUAAAAACACUUAAAAGAGCAAGGAACAACAUUAGAAGUAAUGGGUGAUAAACUCCUACGAAUUUCAUGCAAAACAAUGGUUACCCCCCCCCCACACUUAAAACAAACAUUGUCCUCAAUGUUUCAAGCAUAAACUCACACAAAAACAAGCAAAUAAACAAAUAAUGAAUAAACAUGACAAGUAUAGCAAAGUAAACAAAAAAAUAGACAGAGUAGAGUUUAAGAACGCAAAUCUGGUUUUGGAGAUAGAUCAUCUUGUUGACUUUCCACAGUUUUCAUCUCAAACUGGUUUGGAAUUCUGAGCGAGGAAUAUCAGAGUUCCUUGGUUUCAAAUCAGACUCCUUCUGCUGGGAUGAUUUGAUUGUGCAGUUUGCAUUCUUCUCUGCUUGUUUCUUCUGCACGGCGGGCAGGCACGAGGUAAAUGUGUUGGUCUGUUUCUUUCUUCAAUCUUUCCAAGUGCCCACCUCUUGCUUUCUUUCUCCUUAUCCCUAGCUGAGGAUGAAUUGGCAAAUUGUCUCCACAUGCUUCGAGGUAUCAUUUUCACUUCCCUUAUGAUGCGGUAGACGAAGCGAAAGCAUAAGAUGAUGAAGAUGAGUACUCGAGAGCAAGGCUAGGUAAGCAAUCAGGAAGGGGUUCCAGGCAGUCGGUUCUAGAUCGAAAGAUUGAUACCAAGUGCUGGCUGAUUACUCACUUUCUCCUUGUCCUAAAACAACGACAAGGAGAAGGACAGGGAGAAAGCAUGAUAUGAGAUACUCUUGCUUUCAACCUUCAUGAUAUGAAAUACUUUUACUUUGGAUGGGUUGUUUGCAGAGGUACCCCAAGGAAUAAGGAACACUGAGUGACUCGAGAGGGUUUGUUGGAAAGGCAUUCUCAGAGAUGACGGAAGGUUAUGUAUGUCUGCCUUGCCAUGGAGGGUGAAGGUUGACAUUUAUAGGAAAUAAUAACCGGUACUGUUCUUUCACUCCUGUCGGCAACCGUUGGAUGAUUGAACAGUAAACUUCACGUGUUUUCUACUUCAACAGAAAUCGUCGACAUAUUGCCUGUGAUUUCCUCAAAGUUGACGAGGCUGAGAAAGACAGAUGGUUGGAAUCGGCGCUUCGACAAACUGCCCGUGAUUUCCGCAAAGCUUUCUCUGCAUGUGACAAGUGCUGACAAGGCUGAGAGAGACAGAUGGUUGGAAUCGGCGCUUCGACAAACUGCCCGUG
RNAcentral lists this long non-coding RNA (2210 nucleotides) under Malus domestica (apple). RNAcentral's name for it is "long non-coding RNA (MDOM_LNC011249)". The record is from RNAcentral. Lineage: Eukaryota; Viridiplantae; Streptophyta; Magnoliopsida; Rosales; Rosaceae.